RNAcentral lists this ribosomal RNA (1197 nucleotides) under Triticum aestivum (bread wheat). RNAcentral's name for it is "partial small subunit ribosomal RNA". Lineage: Eukaryota; Viridiplantae; Streptophyta; Magnoliopsida; Poales; Poaceae. The record is from RNAcentral.
AUGGACGCGAGCAUGAUGCGUGAUGCGGAGGGCGACGCGUCUGGGACGCGCGAGGCGAAGGGAGACGUAGCGAGCGCCGCGGCGGAGGUGGCCGGCUGGACGGUGGUGCGGCCUGCCGCGGGGCGGCCGCGGAGGGGCGCGCUGCCAGAGGGGCGGCCCCCUGCUCCGUCCUUCUCCGGCAGCCGGUUCUGGGCGCUAGAGGGGUUUGACUCCGACAUCGACGCCGACGAGGUAGGUUCUCAGGUGAGUUUAGGUAGUUCCGGUGGUUCGCCGAGGCCCAAGGAUGGGUGCUCGGUGGGCGAUUUCAUCGCCCGUGCGGAGGAGCUUGGGGGCUCCUUCGUGGCUGGUCGGCGGCGUGCUUUUGCUCCCGGAGGGAAGGGAGGCCGCCGCCUGGCGGCGCGGAUCUGGUGCCCGCCAAAGGGGGUGGAUGCGGGCCCAGAAGGCCGCUCGUGCGCCAUUCCGGUGGCGGUCCACCGAGAUCUGGUGCUGGCGGAGCCCCCUCGGGCCCUUUCGUGCCUGCCGGAGCCGGCCGGGGCUGGCGACGGCGGCGGCGGGGCUGGCCGGGCAGGGGCUGCACGGAACCUGGCUAGGGUUUCCGGGGCACCGACGGCUGGGCCUGUUCCGGUGUUGGGCCAAAGUGACUGGCCCAGCCUGCCAGGGGGUGGGCUGGGGGACCCUGCGUUGGGCCAGCAGGCUUCAGCGCCUGCGGGGCCGGUGGGCUCAAUGUUGCUCUCCACCGUGACUGGGCCAGGAGGGGGGCAGGGGCUACCCACCGAGUCGGGGCUAGUCCAAUCAGGCCAAGUGGCCGGUUGCGAGCCUGCGCCUCGGCCCGGGCCCAGCGUGACGGAGAAGCCGAGGCCAUCUCCUCUUAUUAAUAGGUGGAUGUGGGUUCCGAAAGGAACCCUAGAUCUAUCGCUAGGGUUUCCUGCCUCUCCCACGCAGGUGCGGCGCUUCGGACAUCUCGCGCGCCGUCUGCUCCGAUCCGCCCCUCCUCCUCCCCUUUCGUGCUCAUACGCCACUGCGGUGCGGAUGGGGUCCCGCCGGAGUGACAAGCCCCCCAUGGCACCCCGAUCCCGGCGGCGGAGCGACAGCGUGAAAAGGAUCUGCGGGCGAAGGCGCUCGCCAAGGAUCAGGAGAUGUGCCAAGUGGUGGUGGGCAGCAACGAGACGGGUUUCAACCAGUACGGAUCCAACAUGA